RNAcentral lists this ribosomal RNA (387 nucleotides) under uncultured bacterium. Its description in RNAcentral is "bacterial SSU rRNA". It matches the Rfam family "Bacterial small subunit ribosomal RNA", at positions 29 to 418 of the family's 1533-position model. The record is from RNAcentral.
AUUGAACGCUGGCGGCAUGCUUUACACAUGCAAGUCGAACGGUAACAGGCCUUCGGGUGCUGACGAGUGGCGAACGGGUGAGUAAUGCAUCGGAACGUGCCCAAUCGUGGGGGAUAACGUAGCGAAAGUUACGCUAAUACCGCAUAAGCCCUGAGGGGGAAAGUGGGGGACCGCAAGGCCUCACGCGAAUGGAGCGGCCGAUGUCAGAUUAGCUAGUUAGUGGGGUAAAGGCUCACCAAGGCGACGAUCUGUAGCGGGUCUGAGAGGAUGAUCCGCCACACUGGGACUGAGACACGGCCCAGACUCCUACGGGAGGCAGCAGUGGGGAAUUUUGGGACAAUGGGCGCAAGCCUGAUCCAGCCAUGCCGCGUGCGGGACGAAGGCCUU